UACGGGGGGGGCAAGCGUUGUUCGGAAUUACUGGGCGUAAAGGGCUCGUAGGCGGCCAACUAAGUCGGAUGUGAAAUCCCCAGGCUUAACCUGGGAACUGCAUCCGAUACUGGAUGGCUUGAAUCCGGGAGAGGGAUGCGGAAUUCCAGGUGUAGCGGUGAAAUGCGUAGAUAUCUGGAGGAACACCGGUGGCGAAGGCGGCAUCCUGGACCGGCAUUGACGCUGAGGAGCGAAGGCCAGGGGAGCAAACGGG
This 253-nucleotide ribosomal RNA is filed under the name uncultured bacterium. RNAcentral describes it as "partial 16S ribosomal RNA". It matches the Rfam family "Bacterial small subunit ribosomal RNA", at positions 524 to 776 of the family's 1533-position model. The record is from RNAcentral.